This 433-nucleotide ribosomal RNA is filed under the name uncultured bacterium. RNAcentral's name for it is "partial 16S ribosomal RNA". It matches the Rfam family "Bacterial small subunit ribosomal RNA", at positions 29 to 507 of the family's 1533-position model. The record is from RNAcentral.
AACGAACGCUGGCGGCAUGCCUAACAUAUGCAAGUCGAACGAGACCUUCGGGUCUAGUGGCGCACGGGUGCGUAACGCGUGGGAACCUGCCCUUAGGUUCGGAAUAACUCCCCGAAAGGGGUGCUAAUACCGGAUAAUGUCUUCGGACCAAAGAUUUAUCGCCUUUGGAUGGGCCCGCGUUGGAUUAGCUAGUUGGUAGGGUAAAAGCCUACCAAGGCGACGAUCCAUAGCUGGUCUGAGAGGAUGAUCAGCCACACUGGGACUGAGACACGGCCCAGACUCCUACGGGAGGCAGCAGUGGGGAAUAUUGGACAAUGGGCGAAAGCCUGAUCCAGCAAUGCCGCGUGAGUGAUGAAGGCCUUAGGGUUAUAAAGCUCUUUUACCCGGGAUGAUAAUGACAGUACCGGGAGAAUAAGCUCCGGCUAACUCCGUG